RNAcentral lists this ribosomal RNA (391 nucleotides) under uncultured bacterium. Its description in RNAcentral is "bacterial SSU rRNA". It matches the Rfam family "Bacterial small subunit ribosomal RNA", at positions 28 to 420 of the family's 1533-position model. The record is from RNAcentral.
GACGAACGCUGGCGGCGUGCUUAACACAUGCAAGUCGAGCGGUAAGGCCCUUUCGGGGGUACACGAGCGGCGAACGGGUGAGUAACACGUGGGUGACCUGCCCUCAGCUCUGGGAUAAGCCCGGGAAACUGGGUCUAAUACCGGAUAUGACUCCACGGUGCAUGUCGUGGGGUGGAAAGCCUUGUGCGGCUGAGGAUGGGCCCGCGGCCUAUCAGCUUGUUGGUGGGGUGAUGGCCUACCAAGGCGACGACGGGUAGCCGGCCUGAGAGGGCGACCGGCCACACUGGGACUGAGACACGGCCCAGACUCCUACGGGAGGCAGCAGUGGGGAAUCUUGCGCAAUGGGCGAAAGCCUGACGCAGCGACGCCGCGUGAGGGAUGACGGCCUCGG